This 277-nucleotide ribosomal RNA is filed under the name uncultured bacterium. RNAcentral's name for it is "partial 16S ribosomal RNA". It matches the Rfam family "Bacterial small subunit ribosomal RNA", at positions 28 to 296 of the family's 1533-position model. The record is from RNAcentral.
GAUAAACGCUGGCGGCGUGCCUAACACAUGCAAGUCGAACGUCCUCGUCUCCGCAAGGGGAUGAGGGAGUGGCGGACGGGUGAGUACCACGUGAGUGAUCUGCCUUGAGGUGAGGAAUACCGGCGAGAAAUCGCCGACAAGACCGCAUAGGAUGGCUCUUUUGAGAGGGAGUCUUCAAAGUGUUCCGCAAGGGACAUGCCUCAAGAUGAGCUUGCGCCCGAUUAGCUGGUUGGUGGGGUAAUGGCCUACCAAGGCGACCAUCGGUAGCUGGUCUGAG